This 253-nucleotide ribosomal RNA is filed under the name uncultured bacterium. Its description in RNAcentral is "partial 16S ribosomal RNA". It matches the Rfam family "Bacterial small subunit ribosomal RNA", at positions 524 to 776 of the family's 1533-position model. The record is from RNAcentral.
UACGAAGGGGGCUAGCGUUGUUCGGAAUUACUGGGCGUAAAGCGCACGUAGGCGGAUACUUAAGUCAGGGGUGAAAUCCCGGGGCUCAACCCCGGAACUGCCUUUGAUACUGGGUAUCUCGAGACCGGGAGAGGUGAGUGGAAUUCCCAGUGUAGCGGUGAAAUGCGUAGAUAUUGGGAGGAACACCAGUGGCGAAGGCGGCUCACUGGACCGGAACUGACGCUGAUGCGCGAAAGCGUGGGGAGCAAACGGG